Molecule: ribosomal RNA, 885 nt
Filed under: Triticum aestivum (bread wheat)
Lineage: Eukaryota; Viridiplantae; Streptophyta; Magnoliopsida; Poales; Poaceae
Description: partial small subunit ribosomal RNA
Source: RNAcentral
AUGCCCCCGACCAACCCUUCCAACGAGAUUCCAAGCCCGCUACCCAUUUCGGCUCCACGCCUCUCGCUCGCGCGCGCCCCGAAUCCCGUCGGCCAAUCCUUCCACGCCCACCGCCGGCCUGCAGCUCCAUCCCUCUUGCUCGCGCGCCCGGAACAGCAUCAGCCAAUCCUUCCAACGAGAUUCGAAGCUCGCCGCCGCCGCCGUCCGCUGCUCCACCCCUCUCGCUGGCGCGCUGCCACUCCGACGACGACGAGGAAGAAGCUGACGAUGGCGAGGACGGCGAAGGAGAAGCAAGCCGGCGGAGCUGAAACAAUGGAAGUGCUCCUCGGCAGGUCACCUGAGAUUCCUAGCAAGAUGGUGAAUGAUUGGGAAAGAAUAGUCCCGGACUUCCGCAGCGGCGACGAAUCAACACUUCAUCCAGGAAAUGACCUCCUCGUACAAGCCCUGCAGCAUUAUUUUGGUAACACAUAUUUGGUGCAGCCAGUACAUGACAUGGUUGGUUUCUGGGGAUCUAAGAUGGAGCAAGCUGCAGAGUUGAUACGCCCAGGUGAAAAGGGUCGAAAAUACAUAUUUCUCCUGAAUAACACAUGUGUUGUUCGUCAAAUGGUGCGGCGUCCAGGAGCAUCUUUCCCCAAUGUAGAACCCUUGCUCACUUCAAUGAUGAAGCGAUACAAAAAGUGCUACUUGGACGAGUGUUGGGCUCCUCUCAAGUGUUUAAGCUCGGAUGAGUUUACCGCCGAAUUUCUAGCCACCUGUAAUCGCCAGAUGACGUGGAAGGUUGCAGCCGAGCUCAGGUACAAACUGCGGAAAGAGAUUUUGGAAUUGAUCGCUCCACCGUACGACGGAAGCCGUGUGAUAGACAUAGACGGGUUAUUUGAAGGAUGA